This 904-nucleotide ribosomal RNA is filed under the name uncultured bacterium. Its description in RNAcentral is "bacterial SSU rRNA". It matches the Rfam family "Bacterial small subunit ribosomal RNA", at positions 21 to 897 of the family's 1533-position model. The record is from RNAcentral.
GGCUCAGAACGAACGCUGGCGGCGUGGAUGAGGCAUGCAAGUCGAACGGAAUUGGGGCGGUAGCAAUAUUGCACCAAUUUAGUGGCGAAAGGGUGAGUAACGCGUGGGCAACCUGCCUUCAUGUUAGGAAUAGCCUGGGGAAACUCGGGAUAAUACCGAAUGUUGUAGUCCGGCGCAUGCUGGACGAUCAAAAGCCGGGGACCGCAAGGCCUGGCGCAUGAAGAUGGGCCCACGUCCUAUCAGCUAGUUGGUGAGGUAACGGCUCACCAAGGCUUACGGGUAGCUGGUCUGAGAGGAUGGUCAGCCACACUGGGACUGAGACACUGCCCAGACUCCUACGGGAGGCUGCAGUCGAGAAUCAUUCGCAAUGGGCGAAAGCCUGACGAUGCGACGCCGCGUGCAGGAUGAAGGUCUUCGGAUUGUAAACUGCUGUUAUGGGGGAUCAAUGCGUAGCGUGAUAAAACCACGCGACGUUGAUAGUACUCCAAGAGGAAGCCACGGCUAACUCUGUGCCAGCAGCCGCGGUAAUACAGAGGUGGCAAGCGUUGUUCGGAUUUACUGGGCGUAAAGGGUGCGUAGGCGGCCGCGUGUGUCGGGUGUGAAAUCCCACGGAUCAUCCGUGGAACUGCAUUCGAAACUGCGCGGCUGGAGUGCAGGAUGGGAAGGCGGAAUUCUCGGUGUAGCGGUGAAAUGCGUUGAUAUCGAGAGGAACGCCGGAGGCGAAGGCGGCCUUCUGGACUGCAACUGACGCUGAGGCACGAAAGCUAGGGGAGCAAACAGGAUUAGAUACCCUGGUAGUCCUAGCCGUAAACGGUGUGCACUUGACGUGGGAGGAAUUAUCCCCUCCCGUGUCGAAGCUAACGCGAUAAGUGCACCGCCUGGGAAAGUACGGUCGCAAGACUAA